This 207-nucleotide ribosomal RNA is filed under the name uncultured bacterium. Its description in RNAcentral is "partial 16S ribosomal RNA". It matches the Rfam family "Bacterial small subunit ribosomal RNA", at positions 568 to 774 of the family's 1533-position model. The record is from RNAcentral.
CGUGUAGGCGGAUUGUUAAGUCGGGGGUGAAAUCCUGGAGCUCAACUCCAGAACUGCCUUCGAUACUGGCGAUCUCGAGUCCGGGAGAGGUGAGUGGAACUGCGAGUGUAGAGGUGAAAUUCGUAGAUAUUCGCAAGAACACCAGUGGCGAAGGCGGCUCACUGGCCCGGUACUGACGCUGAGGUGCGAAAGCGUGGGGAGCAAACA